This 390-nucleotide ribosomal RNA is filed under the name uncultured bacterium. Its description in RNAcentral is "bacterial SSU rRNA". It matches the Rfam family "Bacterial small subunit ribosomal RNA", at positions 30 to 418 of the family's 1533-position model. The record is from RNAcentral.
AUUGAACGCUGGCGGCAUGCCUUACACAUGCAAGUCGAACGGCAGCACGGGAGCUUGCUCCUGGUGGCGAGUGGCGAACGGGUGAGUAAUACAUCGGAACGUACCCUGAAGUGGGGGAUAACGUAGCGAAAGUUACGCUAAUACCGCAUAUUCUGUGAGCAGGAAAGAGGGGGAUCGCAAGACCUCUUGCUUUAGGAGCGGCCGAUGUCGGAUUAGCUAGUUGGUGAGGUAAAGGCUCACCAAGGCGACGAUCCGUAGCGGGUCUGAGAGGAUGAUCCGCCACACUGGGACUGAGACACGGCCCAGACUCCUACGGGAGGCAGCAGUGGGGAAUUUUGGACAAUGGGCGCAAGCCUGGUCCAGCCAUGCCGCGUGAGUGAAGAAGGCCUC